RNAcentral lists this ribosomal RNA (760 nucleotides) under Entoloma sp. YM2790. RNAcentral's name for it is "eukaryotic LSU rRNA". The stretch from base 107 to 260 matches the Rfam family "5.8S ribosomal RNA". Lineage: Eukaryota; Fungi; Basidiomycota; Agaricomycetes; Agaricales; Entolomataceae. The record is from RNAcentral.
AACAAUCAGCUGUUCUUGCAAUUCCAGGUCUAUGUUUUAAAACAUAUACUCUAACAAGUAAUAGAAUGUUAAUUACAGGCCUUCUGUGCCUUUAAAAACUUAAUACAACUUUCAACAACGGAUCUCUUGGCUCUCGCAUCGAUGAAGAACGCAGCGAAAUGCGAUAAGUAAUGUGAAUUGCAGAAUUCAGUGAAUCAUCGAAUCUUUGAACGCACCUUGCGCUCCUUGGUAUUCCGAGGAGCAUGCCUGUUUGAGUGUCAUUAAUUUCUCAACUGCUCUGGCUUUUGUUAAAACAAGGCUGGAUUUGGCUUGGAUUGUGGGAGUUGCUGGCUUCUUGAAGAUCAGCUCUUCUUAAAUGUAUUAGCAGAGUUCUUGCUGAACAUCUUUGGUGUGAUAAUUAUCUACAUCAAUGAAAAAACAGCUUUCCACUUUGGCGGGAUCAGGCUCCGCUUGGGAUUAUAAUAUUUCCAAGUGUUCGAUUCAACCGCUCUGAAGCACCAGCUUAGGCACAGAUGGGUUAGCUCAUCUGAUGGUGUUGAAUACUUCUGGUUGACGAAGCGAGGUGUUCUUUGGAACGCUCACGAGAGCAAGCACUCUUAAUCAUCAUCUCUCUUUUGAUGUUGUUGUGCACUGUCAUAUUCCUGUUACCUACCCUAGCUACUAUGUGGCUUUGAUGGGUCUGGUCAAACCAUGACCUGAACAUAUCCUUAGUGGGAGGAAUCUUGCUUCUAAUGUUGUUCCUAGGAACGAACCUUUUUGA